RNAcentral lists this ribosomal RNA (253 nucleotides) under uncultured bacterium. RNAcentral's name for it is "partial 16S ribosomal RNA". It matches the Rfam family "Bacterial small subunit ribosomal RNA", at positions 524 to 776 of the family's 1533-position model. The record is from RNAcentral.
GACGAACCGUGCGAACGUUGUUCGGAAUCACUGGGCUUAAAGGGCGCGUAGGCGGGCUGCCAAGUCUGUCGUGAAAUCCCACGGCUUAACCGUGGAACUGCGAUGGAUACUGGCGGUCUAGAGGGGGGUAGGGGCAUGCGGAACUGUGGGUGGAGCGGUGAAAUGCGUUGAUAUCCACAGGAACUCCGGUGGCGAAGGCGGCGUGCUGGACCUCUACUGACGCUGAGGCGCGAAAGCCAGGGGAGCAAACGGG